RNAcentral lists this ribosomal RNA (766 nucleotides) under uncultured Streptococcus sp. RNAcentral describes it as "bacterial SSU rRNA". It matches the Rfam family "Bacterial small subunit ribosomal RNA", at positions 27 to 776 of the family's 1533-position model. Lineage: Bacteria; Bacillati; Bacillota; Bacilli; Lactobacillales; Streptococcaceae. The record is from RNAcentral.
GGACGAACGCUGGCGGCGUGCCUAAUACAUGCAAGUAGAACGCUGAAGAGAGGAGCUUGCUCUUCUUGGAUGAGUUGCGAACGGGUGAGUAACGCGUAGGUAACCUGCCUUGUAGCGGGGGAUAACUAUUGGAAACGAUAGCUAAUACCGCAUAACAAUGGAUGACACAUGUCAUUUAUUUGAAAGGGGCAAUUGCUCCACUACAAGAUGGACCUGCGUUGUAUUAGCUAGUAGGUGAGGUAAUGGCUCACCUAGGCGACGAUACAUAGCCGACCUGAGAGGGUGAUCGGCCACACUGGGACUGAGACACGGCCCAGACUCCUACGGGAGGCAGCAGUAGGGAAUCUUCGGCAAUGGGGGCAACCCUGACCGAGCAACGCCGCGUGAGUGAAGAAGGUUUUCGGAUCGUAAAGCUCUGUUGUAAGUCAAGAACGGGUGUGAGAGUGGAAAGUUCACACUGUGACGGUAGCUUACCAGAAAGGGACGGCUAACUACGUGCCAGCAGCCGCGGUAAUACGUAGGUCCCGAGCGUUGUCCGGAUUUAUUGGGCGUAAAGCGAGCGCAGGCGGUUUGAUAAGUCUGAAGUUAAAGGCUGUGGCUCAACCAUAGUUCGCUUUGGAAACUGUCAAACUUGAGUGCAGAAGGGGAGAGUGGAAUUCCAUGUGUAGCGGUGAAAUGCGUAGAUAUAUGGAGGAACACCGGUGGCGAAAGCGGCUCUCUGGUCUGUAACUGACGCUGAGGCUCGAAAGCGCGGGGAGCGAACAGG